RNA transcript from Notolabrus celidotus (New Zealand spotty), 6296 nucleotides. It is a transcript of the gene named kelch domain containing 3, with no coding region annotated. NCBI's taxonomy places the organism in Eukaryota, Metazoa, Chordata, Actinopteri, Labriformes, Labridae. The transcript has 12 exons. The record is from RefSeq and is a predicted model, not a curated record.
CGGCCGGCAGGAGGUGCUCUAGUGCGCCUGCGCGUCUCCUCCCAUCACGUCACGGGGGAGUCUGUGGAGGCUCCCGGUGCAAAGCUCUGCCUGUCUGCACACCAACUACUACCGACUCAACCUGAAGGUUUUCGAUGGUGUGGGCUUGAUGGGAUCGGAGCGGGCGUCAGAGUGAUGGUCUAAGGACUGGCGGUCUCGGAGGUGCUCGCGCGGGGGAUGUUGCGCUGGUCGGUGCACCUUGAAGGAGGGCCGCGGAGAGUCAACCAUGCUGCUGUGGCGGUGGGACACAAGGUGUACUCCUUCGGGGGGUACUGCUCCGGGGAGGACUACGAGACGCUGCGACAGAUCGACGUGCACGUCUUCAACACAGUGUCUCUGCGCUGGAUGAAGCUGCCUCCGGUGAGGAUGGGAGGACACGAACGUGCCCGUGAAGUGCCAUAUAUGCGUUACGGCCACACAGCCGUGCUGCUGGAUGAUAUAAUCUACCUCUGGGGUGGGCGUAACGACACAGAAGGGGCCUGUAAUGUGCUGUAUGCCUUUGAUAUCAACACCCACGGAUGGUUCACACCCAAGAUUUCUGGGACCGUCCCGGGGGCGAGGGACGGACACUCGGCCUGCGUCCUGGGGAAGGCGAUGUACAUAUUUGGAGGAUACGAGCAGCUGGCCGACUGCUUCUCCAAUGACAUCCACAAGCUGGACACCACCACCAUGGUGUGGUCAUUAAUUAACGCCAGGGGCAAUCCUGCACGCUGGAGAGACUUCCACUCAGCCACCAUAAUCGGGACAAAGAUGUUUGUGUUUGGAGGGCGAGCAGACCGCUUCGGUCCCUUCCACUCCAACAACGAGAUCUACUGCAACAAGAUCAAAGUGUUCGACACAGAGACCAACUGCUGGCUGAGCACACCGUCAGCACAGCCGCUGCCAGAGGGACGCCGGAGCCAUUCAGCAUUUACCUACAACGGAGAGCUGUACAUAUUUGGAGGAUACAACGCCCGUCUGGACAUGCACUUCAACGACCUCUGGAAGUUCAACCCAGAUGGCAGUCUGCACCUCAAACGUCAUCCUCAUUACCCAGCAGACUCUGAAUGGGCCUGUUGCCAUAGAGAUCUAAUGAUGCUGCUGGCUGAGAGAGUGUGAGACGGCACUCUUCAUCCUUAUAUGGAUCAGCUGAGAGAGCUCCGUCACACUCUUCAUCCUUAUAUGGAUCAGAAGCCUUCUCCUGGAAUAAGGUGGAGCCGAAGGGGAAAGGCCCGUGUCCCCGGAGGCGGCAGUGCUGCUGUAUGGUUGGAGAUCGAAUCAUCCUCUUCGGAGGAACCAGCCCGUGUCCCGAGCAAGGAAUGGGGGAUGAAUUCAACCUCAUGGACCACUCAGACCUGUAUAUCUUAGACUUCAGCCCUAAUUUGAAGACGUUAUGCAAAAUAGCUGUUAUUCAGUACAGUCUGGAGCAGUCGGGACUCCCACAAGACAUCAGGUGGGAACUGGCAGCCAUGACAACAAACAGCAACAUCAGCAGGCCGAUCUUCUCGUCCCACGGCUGACCCUCCUGACUGUGAGGGAGAUCAGGACUCUCUGAUUCAGGACUCUUUAGGCUUUUAACUUUCUUACAGACUCAGAUCCAGACCGCUGUUUUUUUCUAGAGUCUGGAUCUGGAUGGGAUUUAUUUUCCACAUUCUUCAACUUUACUCUGACCAAAAUAUCCUGCGUGACUCCUCUGGAGCCGCGAGCGGUCUCGGAUAUUUUGAACCCUUGAGACGCUGGUCGUGUGAGACCCGAAUCAUUGACACCUUCUCCUUCUUCUUUUCUAGCCUCUCUAGAAAUCCAAUCAGCCUAUGAUAAUCAUAGACUUCUAAUCUUAAGCACAGGAAGAGACAAGAACUUCAGCCAAAGGUUCCAGAGAGCUCUCUGUGGACGAUGUCACGGGUCUCCCUCAAAGGACUAAUGUGAAUCUACUGGUGGAUCGAUAAGGACGCUGAGUCUCUCAAACGGACAUGAAACCAUGUAAAAGGAUUAAGUGUCUGUAGUUUAUGAAGUGGACGAAGGUGACCGUGGACUUUGGUGUUAGAUUUAAGAAGACGUGUACAAGAUCUUUUAGGGUUCCACGAUUGAAAAAGUUCUGUGUGAUUGGCUUCAUCUUGUCUCAUGCUUCAUCCUCUCCUCACUCACACCCCGAUGCUAAGUGUCUCUAAGGCCGGACUCAGACUACAGGAGGAGCAUGCAUCAGAUGUAUACCUGUUUUCUUCACUGAACCAAUCUUUGACAUCCUGAGCUGCUCAGAGACUCGUCUAAGGCGUGCCGAUGAUAGCGAUCUUGUUGAAUGUUUAGCAUUAAAGGUUCUGGAGGAUUACGUCAGUACGUUUAGAGCAGAAAGGAGAGAGGGAAGGAGGUAGCUGUGAAACUGUUGAGCGUUAGCGUCACUCCAACAUGUGUGAGGACGAAAAAACUGCAAAACAAACACACCCGAAAAAAGACACGGCUAAUGUGGGCUUAACGUGAAAAGCUCUGGUGUUUGUGUUCACAGUCCGUUGGAUAGAAAUGUUCAGGAGUGAGAUCACUUACAGACUGCAUAGAAAUACUGAAUCUCUGGGCGAGGGUUUUUCCAAGGAGUUUCGUCCACGAAUGCUUCAGCAAGCGUUGGUUGCACGCCGUUCGAAACAGUCUUUAGAGAGCACGAAGAAGGCGUGAUGAAAUCUCAUGACAGUUUCCCUUUAACUGAUCUUUAUCUGAUAUUUCAUGCUUACAUCAGCUUUGUCUUUAAGCGUUAACUCCAGUCUGAAGUUGGACCGUAAGCGAAGGCACGCACAGAAAUGAAGUCUCCGCCUUAAUCUUUAACAGUUUGCUGACUUGAAGCUCGGAUUGUUUCUAGAACUUCACACACAUCACGCCAACAUGCGCUCACACACACUUUGAUUUCUUCCCCACGUUUUACUCGGUUGUGGUUAAAGUCAGCCUGAAAACCUCGUUACAUGCAGCUCAUCCGGAUGAAGUCAGGACAUGUUGAGGAGUUUCGUGCACGUGAAAGUGGUUUAUGUCUGCAGCCUGAUUGUUAGACCAGUUAGUGUUUCAGUCUGAAGUCUGAGUCCGGCCUCAGUUUGAAGUCAGAAACCGGUCUGCCUUGUGAAACUCUCGGUCCAUCUACCUCCCUCAGUCGCAUCCUUCACAUGAAGACUCCCCUCAGACAAACAAACGCCUCCUCACCGUGAGGUCUGUGUUUGUUUAUCUCCAGAGAGCUACGACUCUCCCUCCUCCCUCCUCCCUCCUCCUCCUCCUCCUGCAGUUUGUUUUUCAGUGCCAAACGUAGACUCAUGAUGCAAACAUAUACUGUGUAUGUGUGUCCGCACGUGAUGCUCGUGAUCCUCGCCCACCUGCUCCACGUUGCCUGUUGUUUCGGGGGAAUCAUCUCUGAUGUGCAUAAUGUAGACGCUCCUCUUUUAGACAAUCCUACAGCGUGCUUCUUCACGCCGCGCUGACACACGUGUGUUUGUGUUCAGCUGACGACACAGAAGGGCUGUUACUGAAUUAUUACACACUCGCCAUGAGAGGCCCGGACAUGGAGGUGUUUACUCAGGCGCUUGUUUUUAUUUCACCGUACAAGUUUUAGAACAAAGUUUGGAGAGGUGACGGUCUCUGUUUGCAACCUUUAGUAUCCAGGUUUGUUCCACGAUGACGUCUGUGAUAUCUCAGAUCUUUGGUGCAGUCAGCGGUCUCUUUGAGGGAUCAAUCAACACAAAAUACAACUCAAGACUUCACAGGUUCAUCAGGUUCAGUCAUUUACUGCCACAGCUUGGUGCUGUUGUUAUCCUCCAUAUUUGCAUUAAACAGGGAAUUUAUUAAAGACUUUAUUUAGUCAAGACUUAUUUUGGGUUUCUCAAACGCUGGCUCAAUAUCGCUGAAAAGCUAGCUCAGAGUUUGAAUAUUUAUGCUGCAAAAACCUCAAAGUCUUUCAAGUUAAUUUAUCUUAUUAACUAUUCAAAAUAAAUCUUAACACUUAAUAUAAGUCACCUUAAAAAUCCAGAUAUAUCAUCGUAUUUACAGAUGUUACUUACAAAAAAUAAGGUUGUAAAAAUAACUGCCAGUGCUCCAAACAAGUCGAUCUUACCUCAACGAAACGUAUCCAGUAAGAGUUGCAUGGUCGUUACCAUAUAAGGACAUAAACAAGCUGACACUGAGUAUAGACUUAAGAGUGAAUCUGUCAUUCCGAACACUGUCGUCUCUUUUCUUCACUUCGUUAGACGUCUCUUUCGCUCAUCUUCUGGUGUGAUUUAACCUCCCUCACUAGUGUCCUCCUCUCGUCUUCUUCUCUCUGUUGUUUGAAUCUUAAACUUUGAACUCCUAAAAUAGAUUCAAAGUAAUCUUAAAAUAUCCUCCAUGUAAUCAAAAGAGUUCGAAAGCAGACAUUCACUCUCGUUCUUUGCCGCAGUGUCAACAGGCGGAGGUGAAAUGCGCCGGACACAUUUCACAGAUUGAUUCAAUUUGACGUGUGUGAUCAGGGUCGUCUCUGGAAACACUUUAUUGUUGAGAAUCAGAUCAAGGAUUCAACACAUCUGUGUAAUAACCACAGACUGUACGACGUCAUCUCUGCGUCUACAUCUUGUAUUCCAUACUGAAGCAGAGUUUUGAAGCCUCAACCUAAAUUUGGUUGACGUAACAGGAGGCGAAGAGGUAGACUUUGAGCCUCCUUGCUAAUGUGUCUCUAAUAUUUAAAACUUGUACGUUUAAUAUCUUUAAAAAAGAACACGUUAAUAAUAAAUUCCCUUCGUACAGUGUGUGCUGAUAGAGAAAUGAGCUACUCAGACCUAAACUGUUAACAUGUUUAUUUUAAAGAUCGGCUCUUUGAAUGGGUGUGUAUUUGGUUUCUAGUGUUUCUGCAGCCAGCCCUCUAGUGGACACUCCAGGAACUGCUGUUUUUGGCACUUCUGCAUUGGCUUCAUACUUCAAGAUCGAAGGUUUCUACAGAUUAAAACUCAGUUCCGAUAACAACAGGAGCGUCUUUACGAGCUAACAAUACUGCCGAAACUUUCCGAAUUAGCUUGCGUCGUGUAAGAUAUGGUGACGAUAACAAACGGUGCUAACGCAGCGUGUUGUGAUGGUUAAAGCUCACAAAACAAAGACAAUCAGAGUUUUUCCAGCUAUAUUUUUAACAUUUUUAACGUCGCCAGUCUUGCCAAAGUCUUGGUAUCUUUAGGGUGACAGUAUUUGUUGGAUUGAUUGAUUUCCUUCAUGAGGAUGAUAAGAUCGAGUAUCACAGACUUGUCUUUGGGUCUUAAAAGAAACACCAGGUGAUGAUGAGUACAGCCAGAGAACUUCUCUCCAUGCUAGUUUAAUGUAAAUAAGAACCAGGCUGCUUCAGUCCUGAUCUUUGAGACCAGAUCCCCUCUGUGCCGGAUCAGCUGGUAGAAAUGAAUCCUGCAGGCCGGCUGCUGGUCCCAAACAUCAGGAAGUGAAGACUCUGACCUUCAUCCUGAUGUUUACAGAAGUGUGAAACAAUCGUUAGUGCGGGCUGAAGUCAGCGGCUGAUCGUGGCGGUCUGGCCUUACAGAGAGGAGACAAUGCUGCUUCAAACCUCUCUCUCCCCCCAAACUGAGUGUGGGUUUCAUUUACAGACCGGCAGUGCCAAUAUGACAACACACACACACACACAAUCCACACUCUUCACUCUUCAUGGUCCUCAGUGUCCCUGCUAACGACAGAGUAAAGGUACAGGUGAACAAAUCAAACCUUGGAUGUGACGCAGGAAGCUCGGUCACUUUUUUAACGUGUGUGGUGGAAGACUUUCUUCUUGCAGGACUUCGGUCCUCUUCUUGUUGCGUGUGAAGAUUAGGGUGACAGUGUUUCAGCCAAGACCUCUUCAGGAAUACAAACCUGUCCCUCAGAGACGCUCGCCUCCGUGAGAGUGAAACGAGCGAUGGUGAUGUACGCUCUCUCUGCACCUUUACAGCUUUUAACCUUUAAAGCAGCUUCUGAGAGAAACAUGCAUCAAUAAAUCCUAACGCACGCUCGUCUAACGUCACUUAGAGCGAGCGGCGAUCAUUGCCAAGCAGGACGACGUUCUCCAACUUUAACGCCAAGAAGUGUGUUUCUCUCUCUCUCUGUGGAUUAAUUCAUAAACUACAAAGAAUGCUUGUUAGGAUCAGAACAAAGUACGCCGUGUGUUUGGAUCACUUCACUGUUUUUAUUUGACGGUUUUAUAUUUGACACGUGUUUUCAGAGGGACUCUGAGUGGAGAGGUUGGUCAGGACUUCCUGUGCAAUAUGCUUUAUAACUGUAUCAACAAUAAAUCUGAGACGAUUUGAAGAAGA